GGAUCAUUACAGAGUUUUCUAACUCCCAAACCCAUGUGAACUUACCUUUGUUGCCUCGGCAGAAGCUACCCUGUAACGAGCUACCCUGUAGCGACUUACCCUGUAGCAAUCAUUCUGCCGGUGGACCAUUAAACUCUUGUUAUUUUAUUGUAAUCUGAGCGUCUUAUUUUAAUAAGUCAAAACUUUCAACAACGGAUCUCUUGGUUCUGGCAUCGAUGAAGAACGCAGCGAAAUGCGAUAAGUAAUGUGAAUUGCAGAAUUCAGUGAAUCAUCGAAUCUUUGAACGCACAUUGCGCCCAUUAGUAUUCUAGUGGGCAUGCCUGUUCGAGCGUCAUUUCAACCCUUAAGCCUAGCUUAGUAUUGGGAAUCUACUGUAUUGUAGUUCCUCAAAUCUAACGGCGGAUCUGUGGUAUCCUCUGAGCGUAGUAAAUUUUUAUCUCGCUUUUGUCAGGUGCUGCAGCUCCCAGCCGCUAAACCCCCAAUUUUUAAUGGUUGACCUCGGAUCAGGUAGGAAUACCCGCUGAACUUAAGCAUAUCAAUAAGCGGAGGAAAAGAAACCAACAGGGAUUGCCCUAGUAACGGCGAGUGAAGCGGCAACAGCUCAAAUUUGAAAUCUGGCCCUUGGGUCCGAAUUGUAAUUUGUAGAGGAUGAUUUUGGUGCGGUAUCUUCCGAGUUCCUUGGAACAGGACGCCUUAGAGGGUGAGAGCCCCGUACGGUUGAAUGCCUAGCCUCUGUAAAUCUCCUUCGACGAGUCGAGUAGUUUGGGAAUGCUGCUCUAAAUGGGAGGUAAAUUUCUUCUAAAGCUAAAUACUGGCCAGAGACCGAUAGCGCACAAGUAGAGUGAUCGAAAGAUGAAAAGCACUUUGAAAAGAGGGUUAAAUAGCACGUGAAAUUGUUGAAAGGGAAGGAUUUAUGACCAGACUUUUUCUGGGCGGAUCAUCCGGUGUUCUCACCGGUGCACUUUGCCCAGUUUAGGCCAGCAUCGAUUUUUGGAGAGGGAUAAAAGCUUUAGGAAUGUGGCUCCUCCGGGAGUGUUAUAGCCUAUUGUAUAAUACCUUUCCGGGGAUCGAGGUACGC
RNAcentral lists this unclassified non-coding RNA (1078 nucleotides) under leaf metagenome. RNAcentral's name for it is "partial contains internal transcribed spacer 1, 5.8S ribosomal RNA, internal transcribed spacer 2, and large subunit ribosomal RNA". The stretch from base 494 to 1078 matches the Rfam family "Eukaryotic large subunit ribosomal RNA", at positions 1 to 596 of the family's 3401-position model. The record is from RNAcentral.